Microcebus murinus (gray mouse lemur) is the source of this 1357-nucleotide non-coding RNA. Lineage: Eukaryota; Metazoa; Chordata; Mammalia; Primates; Cheirogaleidae. The record is from RefSeq and is a predicted model, not a curated record.
UCUGAUGAUAAAUGGGGCACUGGAAUAAUAUCAGUUAGCGUCUUAUGAGGAAUGGAGACAUUCACAUAUUAUUGGGCUGCAGCCAGUUCUGUCUGCCUGUGUCUUAUGUAUAUGUUCUAUGUGUGUCAUCCCCCGUUCUGUAAUCAGGCCAUGACAAGUGGCUCAGCGAGCAAGGUCCUGAAGCCUGGAGGUGCUUGAAUUCUGAACGAAAGCUGCAUCCUUUCAGCACGGCGGGACCAAGAUGAUAACCCCUUUGGCUAAUGAGCGAGGCUCUGAGUGGGUUCCCACGCGACGCCUUAAGAGAAGAUAUGGCGAAGAGAAUCCGGACCGAGGAGAUCCUCAGGGAAUUCAGGAACCUCUCCGUGAAGGCGCGGAGUCCAACACCCAGGACAAUGUGUGCGGUCCCCCCAACUUGGGGUCAGCUCAAGAAGUUGACUCAGGAAGCAGAAAAGAUUGUAUUCCAAGUCCAGCAGCCAUGUAAUCCGAGCACCGUGUUUUUGGCUAUGCUGGCCAUAGUCACUUGCCAGGUGGGGCUUACGAAUUCCUCACAUGUCUACUGGGCAUAUGUGCCUUACCCUCCUUUGUUUAAGCCAUUUCCUGGGGAGAGCCUGAAGUUCUGGUUUAUACCAACGACUCUGACUGGAUGCCGGCCCCUUAUCAGUCAUAUUCAUUACACCCUAGUGAGGGAGGUCAGCUGGUCUCUAAUUAUUCACUUAGUGCAGAAGGAUAUCCCAUUUGUUUUGGGGCUAGUGCUCAUUGAAUAUUUCUCAUGAAGCAUGGGGCCCGCAGUAUGAUACUUCAUCUUUUGCAGCCCUUACCGUGCUCUUGUCAGUCAGAGGACUUAGGGGUGUGCCUUAUAUAUAUCUGAAGGGCAGUCACUAUUGCCUCUUUGCUCCAUGCCUCACAUCGAACCUCCGUUGUCUCAUAUAGAGAGGAGUCGAUGUAGAGGGAAGACUUUAAAAUUGUUACAUGAUCAUCCCAAAAUUGUAGAUUGGAGUCCUCAUAGUGACUUUCAUGAAAAGUUCUCUGGUCAUUCCGUGUGAUGGCAUCGGAAGGGAAACCAUUUAAGCGCCACCGCCAACGAGACCAUCAUGUGGCAUGAUAAAGGCCUUUCUCCUCCUCAGCCCCACCUGUUAGGAACUCUACACAUGCAAGGACAGAUAUGGAGAUUGUUGGCAUCCGGAAAGCACAUAAAUAUUAGGCUUGGUAACAUGUCUUUUAAUAAUUCUGUAGGUUUUCAAGUUCAUCUCCACUGUAAUCUUUCACGGUCUCUUCUAGCCUGUGUAUUCUAUCCCUACUUGUUGUUGAUGGGCUCAAUCCAGUGGAAUGAGUCCACAGGACAAGUCUCCUGCCUUAA